Molecule: long non-coding RNA, 661 nt
Filed under: Mus musculus (house mouse)
Lineage: Eukaryota; Metazoa; Chordata; Mammalia; Rodentia; Muridae
Description: predicted gene, 32243
Source: RNAcentral
GUCUAUUUGUGAGGUUUUAUUCUGAAUGGACUUGAUUUGACCUUCUAGCUCUCAUGAUACAACCUUACACAUUCACACAGUCAAAGCUAUGAAUGGGUUACAUUCCUCCUAACGAAGGUGAUUACCUUAACACUCCAAUAGACUUCUGCGCGGAGGUUCCUUUAGCUCCUUCAAUCGACGGUGCAUCCUCAUAUGACUAAAAGAACACAAUGUGCAGAAAAACAUGAGCACUCUAAACUGCAGGAAAGAAGAAAAGAAAAUGCAUCACAAAAUAUUUUUUAAGGAUGGACACAUAGUCCCCAGUCUUCACAGCUUGUACUCACAUUGGAGGAACUGACAAACUCCAGUCUACCCAGACUUAGAGCAUCUCUGAGAUAUCAGAUCCUGUCUGGAAUGUGGGAAGAGAAUUCUGCAGGGGAGUCCAAGGAACCCAAACAUCAAUCCACAUAACGCUGCAGUCCAGCAAAUCUCACUACAGAGAAAAGUUCUGGGAAGAAUGAGUUGUCAGCAGACAUUUAGGGGAAACAACAUUGAUGUGGCCACAAAAAUAUCUUCAUAACUACCGGGUCAAGCAUUCUCUUUGAUUUUUACCAAGGGGAAAAUAUGUAUAUAUCUUCUGUCAGAAGAAAAGCUUGGAGUGAAUAAAUCAGUUCAAGCAGGA